AAACGGAACCCUUAUGGAUUCGUCAUGUCUGUCUGUCCGUCUGUAUAUUACAGCAACUUUUUUCCGACACUAUAAGAACUAUACUGUUGAAACUUGGUACGUAGAUGUAUUCUGUGAACCGCAUUGAGAUUUUCACACAAAAAUAGAAAAAAAACAACAAAUUUUGGGGGUUCCCCAUACUUAGAACUGAAACUCAAAUUUUUUUUUUCAUCAUACGUAUGGACGUGUCUUCAAAAAUGAUAUUGAGGUUUCUAAUAUUUUUUUUUUCUAAACUGAAUAGUUUGCGCGAGAGACACUUCCAAAGUG
Long non-coding RNA from Cydia amplana, 306 nucleotides. RefSeq lists it as uncharacterized. NCBI's taxonomy places the organism in Eukaryota, Metazoa, Arthropoda, Insecta, Lepidoptera, Tortricidae. The record is from RefSeq and is a predicted model, not a curated record. The transcript is spliced from 2 exons.